AUUGAACGCUGGCGGCAUGCCUUACACAUGCAAGUCGAACGGCAGCACGGGGCAACCUGGUGGCGAGUGGCGAACGGGUGAGUAAUGCAUCGGAACGUGCCAUUGAGUGGGGGAUAACGUAGCGAAAGUUGCGCUAAUACCGCAUAUUCUGUGAGCAGGAAAGCAGGGGACCGCAAGGCCUUGCGCUCUUUGAGCGGCCGAUGUCAGAUUAGCUAGUUGGUGAGGUAACGGCUUACCAAGGCGACGAUCUGUAGCGGGUCUGAGAGGAUGAUCCGCCACACUGGGACUGAGACACGGCCCAGACUCCUACGGGAGGCAGCAGUGGGGAAUUUUGGACAAUGGGCGCAAGCCUGAUCCAGCCAUGCCGCGUGAGUGAAGAAGGCCUUCGGGUUGGU
This 395-nucleotide ribosomal RNA is filed under the name uncultured bacterium. RNAcentral's name for it is "bacterial SSU rRNA". It matches the Rfam family "Bacterial small subunit ribosomal RNA", at positions 30 to 427 of the family's 1533-position model. The record is from RNAcentral.